RNAcentral lists this ribosomal RNA (460 nucleotides) under uncultured Clostridium sp. Its description in RNAcentral is "bacterial SSU rRNA". It matches the Rfam family "Bacterial small subunit ribosomal RNA", at positions 8 to 484 of the family's 1533-position model. Lineage: Bacteria; Bacillati; Bacillota; Clostridia; Eubacteriales; Clostridiaceae. The record is from RNAcentral.
AGAGUUUGAUCCUGGCUCAGGACGAACGCUGGCGGCGUGCCUAACACAUGCAAGUCGAGCGACGAAGUUCCUUCGGGAAACGGAUUAGCGGCGGACGGGUGAGUAACACGUGGGUAACCUGCCUUAUAGUGGGGGAUAGCCUUUCGAAAGGAAGAUUAAUACCGCAUAAGAUUGUAGUAUCGCAUGGUAUAGCAAUUAAAGGAGCAAUUCGCUAUAAGAUGGACCCGCGUCGCAUUAGCUAGUUGGUGAGGUAAUGGCUCACCAAGGCGACGAUGCGUAGCCGACCUGAGAGGGUGAUCGGCCACAUUGGGACUGAGACACGGCCCAGACUCCUACGGGAGGCAGCAGGGGGGAAUAUUGCACAAUGGGCGAAAGCCUGAUGCAGCAACGCCGCGUGAGUGAUGACGGCCUUCGGGUUGUAAAACUCUGUCUUCAGGGACGAUAAUGACGGUACCUGAGG